This 253-nucleotide ribosomal RNA is filed under the name uncultured bacterium. Its description in RNAcentral is "partial 16S ribosomal RNA". It matches the Rfam family "Bacterial small subunit ribosomal RNA", at positions 524 to 776 of the family's 1533-position model. The record is from RNAcentral.
UACAGAGGUCUCAAGCGUUGUUCGGAUUCAUUGGGCGUAAAGGGUGCGUAGGUGGCGCUGUAAGUCGGGUGUGAAAUUUCGGGGCUUAACCCCGAAACUGCAUUCGAUACUGCGGUGCUUGAGGACUGGAGAGGAGACUGGAAUUCAUGGUGUAGCAGUGAAAUGCGUAGAGAUCAUGAGGAAGACCAGUGGCGAAGGCGGGUCUCUGGACAGUUCCUGACACUGAGGCACGAAGGCCAGGGGAGCAAACGGG